This 498-nucleotide ribosomal RNA is filed under the name Dytiscus latissimus. RNAcentral's name for it is "partial 16S ribosomal RNA". The stretch from base 375 to 498 matches the Rfam family "Bacterial large subunit ribosomal RNA", at positions 2473 to 2597 of the family's 2925-position model. The record is from RNAcentral. Lineage: Eukaryota; Metazoa; Arthropoda; Insecta; Coleoptera; Dytiscidae.
UUAUUAAUUUAGGUCUGGCCUGCCCACUGAAAUUUAAAUGGCCGCAGUAUUUUGACUGUGCAAAGGUAGCAUAAUCAUUAGUUUUUUAAUUAAAAGCUUGUAUGAAGGGUUGGACGAAGUAAAAUCUGUCUCUAUUUAAUUUAUAUUAAAAUUUAAUUUUUAAGUUAAAAAGCUUAAAUAUUAUUAAAAGACGAGAAGACCCUAUAGAUCUUUAUAUUUUAUUUAUUGAUUUUAAUAUAGAAAUUUUUAUUUUUUAAUAAUAAAAAUAUUUUAUUGGGGUAAUAAAAAGAUUUAUAAAAUUCUUUUUAAAAAUUUACAUUAAUUUAUGAUUGUAUGAUCCAAUUUUUUUGAUUAUAAGAUUAAGUUACCUUAGGGAUAACAGCGUAAUUUUUUUAAAGAGUUCAUAUCGAUAAAAAAGUUUGCGACCUCGAUGUUGGAUUAAAAAUUAUCCUGGGUGCAGAAGUUUGGGAUUUUGGUCUGUUCGACCAUUAAAUUUUU